UUAUCAAAUCCAGGAAUGAGGUGCUGAGGAAAAGAAGAAGUCUGUGAGGGAGUUCACAUAUAAGCAUAUAUAAGCUGAGGAAACCAGAGCUUAAGCAAUGCACAAAACCAGAACCGUUCCAGUUAGAGAGUCUAGCUAGGCACGAACAGGAAAUGCGGAAAGAAAUGGAUGAAAGGAUUAGAACUCAGAGAGAAAAGUCAAAGAAGAGUCUUCAGAGCACAACCAGUGAUUAAAGAGUGAGUGACUGUUGCUGUCUUUUAAUCUACAGUUUCGAAGAACUCGCAAAAUGAUUUGUGUGAAUUCUCACCUGACUCAGGGAUCUCAUUACUGUUCCGGAGUAAGUAAGAAGGCCUCUUACAGAAAUUCAAGAGUUUAAUCACCAUGUGGACCAUCGGGCUAUAGAAAGGGUAGACUUUGACCAUAAAGUAAGCUUAUCUAACUCAAUCAGCAAAUCAAAAGGAACUUUUUGAUUUUUCAACUAACUUGUUCUAUCAUCUUUGGUUCCAGAUCAAAGAGAAAGAGAUGAUGUACAAGAGAUACCGCGAAGAGACUGAAGCCGCAAAAAUGGUAGAGGAAGAGAGAGCUCUGAAACAACUGAGAAGGACAAUGGUUCCUCACGCCAGACCAGUGCCAAACUUCAACAACCCAUUCUUACCUUAGAAGUCGAACAAGGAGACGACGAAACCAAAGUCACCAAAGCUUAUGAGUGAUUCGAAGAGUCGGCAGGAGAACAAUGAUGAUGGCUUCUCACAUGAGGUAGCUGUUAAAACGUA
Arabidopsis lyrata subsp. lyrata is the source of this 773-nucleotide long non-coding RNA. RefSeq lists it as uncharacterized. The record is from RefSeq and is a predicted model, not a curated record. Lineage: Eukaryota; Viridiplantae; Streptophyta; Magnoliopsida; Brassicales; Brassicaceae. The transcript is spliced from 3 exons.